Molecule: ribosomal RNA, 658 nt
Filed under: uncultured beta proteobacterium
Lineage: Bacteria; Pseudomonadati; Pseudomonadota; Betaproteobacteria
Description: bacterial SSU rRNA
Rfam family: Bacterial small subunit ribosomal RNA
Source: RNAcentral
AGAGUUUGAUCCUGGCUCAGAUUGAACGCUGGCGGCAUGCCUUACACAUGCAAGUCGAACGGCAGCGCGGGGCAACCUGGCGGCGAGUGGCGAACGGGUGAGUAAUAUAUCNNAACGUACCCUGNANUGGGGGAUAACGUANCGAAAGUUACGCUAAUACUGCAUACGAUCUAAGGAUGAAAGUGGGGGAUUCGCAAGAACCUCAUGCUCCUGGAGCGGCCGACAUCUGAUUAGCUAGUUGGUGGGGUAAAGGCCUACCAAGGCAUCGAUCAGUAGCUGGUCUGAGAGGACGACCAGCCACACUGGAACUGAGACACGGUCCACACUCCUACGGGAGGCAGCAGUGGGGAAUUUUGGACAAUGGGCGAAAGCCUGAUCCAGCAAUGCCGCGUGAGUGAAGAAGGCCUUCGGGUUGUAAAGCUCUUUNGUCAGGGAAGAAACGGUGGGNGGGNNNUAUCUUUUGCUAAUGACGGUACCUGAAGAAUAAGCACCGGUUAACUACGUGCCCAGCAGCCGCCGGUAAAUACGUANGGUGGCAAGCGUUAAUCCGGAAAUUACUGGGCGUUAAACGUGCGCAGGCGGGUUUUNGUAAGUUUGGUCCGUGGAAAUNCCCCGGGCUCCAACCUGGGGAAUUGGGAUUAAAACUGGCAAAGGCUUA